CCAUUGGCCUACUUAUAUCAAUAUGAAUGUUGAUCCUUUUGAUUUAAAUAUUGGUGCUUUAUUGACUAUUCAUAGGAGAUGGAAUGUAAAUCGUUUGGCCACAUUUUUUCAAUGCUGAUAUGAUGAACCAAAUCUAUCGAAUCCCUGUGGUGCGAGGCACUUGCUUUGAUCAAUUCACAUGGGGCUUAAAUAGGCUUAAUAGUAUCUUCAUGAAAGAUAUGUACCAUCUUGUGGAGAUGCCUUCGUAUAUGGUCAUUCUUUUCAUAUUUUAAGGGGG
RNAcentral lists this long non-coding RNA (277 nucleotides) under Elaeis guineensis (African oil palm). Its description in RNAcentral is "long non-coding RNA (EGUI_LNC015111)". Lineage: Eukaryota; Viridiplantae; Streptophyta; Magnoliopsida; Arecales; Arecaceae. The record is from RNAcentral.